This 262-nucleotide ribosomal RNA is filed under the name uncultured archaeon. RNAcentral's name for it is "partial 16S ribosomal RNA". It matches the Rfam family "Archaeal small subunit ribosomal RNA", at positions 748 to 1009 of the family's 1478-position model. The record is from RNAcentral.
CAGCCGUAAACUAUGCGCGUUAGGUGUAUCGGUGACCACGAGUUACCGAGGUGCCGAAGGGAAACCGUGAAACGUGCCGCCUGGGAAGUACGGUCGCAAGGCUGAAACUUAAAGGAAUUGGCGGGGGAGCACCACAACAGGUGGAGCCUGCGGUUUAAUUGGACUCAACGCCGGGAAGCUCACCGGAUAGGACAGCAGAAUGAUUGCCGGGCUGAAGACCCUGCAUGACUAGCUGAGAGGUGGUGCAUGGCGGUCAGUGACU